AUUGAACGCUGGCGGCAUGCUUUACACAUGCAAGUCGAACGGCAGCGCGGGCUUCGGCCUGGCGGCGAGUGGCGAACGGGUGAGUAAUGCAUCGGAACGUGCCCAGUAGUGGGGGAUAGCCCGGCGAAAGCCGGAUUAAUACCGCAUACGACCUGAGGGUGAAAGCGGGGGACCGAAAGGCCUCGCGCGAUUGGAGCGGCCGAUGUCGGAGUAGCUAGUUGGUGGGGUAAAGGCUUACCAAGGCGACGAUCCGUAGCUGGUCUGAGAGGACGACCAGCCACACUGGGACUGAGACACGGCCCAGACUCCUACGGGAGGCAGCAGUGGGGAAUUUUGGACAAUGGGGGCAACCCUGAUCCAGCCAUGCCGCGUGCGGGAAGAAGGCCUUCGGGUUGUAAACCGCUUUUGUUCGGGAAGAAAUCCUCUGGGCUAAUACCCCGGGGGGAUGACGGUACCGGAAGAAUAAGCACCGGCUAACUACGUG
Molecule: ribosomal RNA, 484 nt
Filed under: uncultured bacterium
Lineage: Bacteria
Description: partial 16S ribosomal RNA
Rfam family: Bacterial small subunit ribosomal RNA
Source: RNAcentral